This 253-nucleotide ribosomal RNA is filed under the name uncultured bacterium. RNAcentral describes it as "partial 16S ribosomal RNA". It matches the Rfam family "Bacterial small subunit ribosomal RNA", at positions 524 to 776 of the family's 1533-position model. The record is from RNAcentral.
UACGAAGGGGGCUAGCGUUGUUCGGAAUUACUGGGCGUAAAGCGCACGUAGGCGGAUAUUUAAGUCAGGGGUGAAAUCCCAGAGCUCAACUCCAGAACUGCCUUUGAUACUGGGAGUCUUGAGUUCGGGAGAGGUGAGUGGAACUGCGAGUGUAGAGGUGAAAUUCGUAGAUAUUCGGAAGAACACCAGUGGCGAAGGCGGCUCACUGGCCCGGUACUGACGCUGAGGUGCGAAAGCGUGGGGAGCAAACAGG